GAUAAACGCUGGCGGCGUGCAUGAGACAUGCAAGUCGAACGGACGAUCAGGGCUUGCUCUGAUCGUUAGUGGCGGACGGCUGAGUAACGCGUAGGUGACCUGCCCCGAAGUGGGGGAUAACUGCCCGAAAGGGUGGCUAAUACCGCAUGUGGUGGUUCGUUCAUUCGAACCAUCAAAGCAGCAAUGCGCUUCGGGAGGGGCCUGCGUCCGAUUAGCUCGUUGGUGGGGUAACGGCUCACCCAAGGCGACGAUCGGUAGGUGGUCUGAGAGGACGAUCACCCAGACUGGGGACUGAGACACGGCCCAGACUCCUACGGGAGGCAGCAGUCGGGAAUUUUUGCGCAAUGGGCGAAAGCCUGACGCAGCAACGCCGCGUGAGGGAUGAAGGCCUUCGGGUUGUAAACCUCUUUUAUCAGGGACGAUGAUGACGGUACCUGACG
Molecule: ribosomal RNA, 440 nt
Filed under: uncultured bacterium
Lineage: Bacteria
Description: bacterial SSU rRNA
Rfam family: Bacterial small subunit ribosomal RNA
Source: RNAcentral